UGGUACCAAACAAAAGGAUAAAAUUGAAAAUUAAACAUUAAAACACAAUUAGAAAAUAUAAGAUUAUAAUUCUGGAGGAAGAAAUGAAGAAUACUUAUUCCUAUAUCUACUCGAUUUUCCUGCUCUAUUAUAUUUCAUUUUUCUUCUUUUCAUUUUCCCAAAAUGGCUAUUUAUAAAAGGAAGAAGAGAGUCGUAGUGGUUGUCAAUUGGAGAAGCAAUUGGAAUAUCUCAUCACUUAACGGUUUCAAAACCCCCCUCCAUAUAUUCUCAAAUAUUUGAUCUACCUACUUCUGAUCAGCAACAUCGUUGGCUCACUUGGGACAUGGCUUGAGAAGAUUUCAUUGGUGAGUAACCAUCAUUUUUCAUCUUUGGGGACAUGUAUGAUUAGUACUAGGAUGUCAUGACCACUCACUUCCAAGGGCAAUUUGAUCUGCUUCAGGGCAAACUUGAGGACGUCUCCGUUUGUAUCCAAACCAAGCAUGUCUUCCCGCCUCCUCAGCCUUGAGCCAUAAUCUUUUCCCCCUUAUUUUGAUGUUGCCAAAGGGGUAGAUACAUUUAUAAGCAUAUCUAGGUAUAUAUUUUGUAUGUGCUUAUCAUAGUUUAGACAUGUUUAGCUUACUUUUGGAUAUUGUUAUUGGCAUCUUUUGAUUACUUAUGAUCAUUAUCUUUUUGGAUCCUGUUUUGGACAUGGCACAUUUAUGGAUUGGAUGCCAUAUUGAUAGAUAUUUUGGUUUACAU
This 738-nucleotide long non-coding RNA is filed under the name Vitis vinifera (wine grape). RNAcentral describes it as "long non-coding RNA (VVIN_LNC004456)". Lineage: Eukaryota; Viridiplantae; Streptophyta; Magnoliopsida; Vitales; Vitaceae. The record is from RNAcentral.